Molecule: ribosomal RNA, 743 nt
Filed under: uncultured bacterium
Lineage: Bacteria
Description: bacterial SSU rRNA
Rfam family: Bacterial small subunit ribosomal RNA
Source: RNAcentral
AGUGGCGGACGGGUGAGUAACACGUAGGUAACCUGCCCCGGAGCGGGGGAUAACAUUUGGAAACAGAUGCUAAUACCGCAUAACAACAAAAGCCACGUGGCUUUUGUUUGAAAGAUGGCUUUGGCUAUCACUCUGGGAUGGACCUGCGGUGCAUUAGCUAGUGGGUAAGGUAACGGCUUACCAAGGCGAUGAUGCAUAGCCGAGUUGAGAGACUGAUCGGCCACAAUGGAACUGAGACACGGUCCAUACUCCUACGGGAGGCAGCAGUAGGGAAUCUUCCACAAUGGGCGCAAGCCUGAUGGAGCAACACCGCGUGAGUGAAGAAGGGUUUCGGCUCGUAAAGCUCUGUUGUUGGAGAAGAACGUGCGUGAGAGUAACUGUUCACGCAGUGACGGUAUCCAACCAGAAAGUCACGGCUAACUACGUGCCAGCAGCCGCGGUAAUACGUAGGUGGCAAGCGUUAUCCGGAUUUAUUGGGCGUAAAGCGAGCGCAGGCGGUUGCUUAGGUCUGAUGUGAAAGCCUUCGGCUUAACCGAAGAAGUGCAUCGGAAACCGGGCAACUUGAGUGCAGAAGAGGACAGUGGAACUCCAUGUGUAGCGGUGGAAUGCGUAGAUAUAUGGAAGAACACCAGUGGCGAAGGCGGCUGUCUGGUCUGCAACUGACGCUGAGGCUCGAAAGCAUGGGUAGCGAACAGGAUUAGAUACCCUGGUAGUCCAUGCCGUAAACGAUGAGUGCUAGGUGU